This 140-nucleotide transfer RNA is filed under the name Deinococcus radiodurans. RNAcentral describes it as "tRNA-Xxx". It matches the Rfam family "tRNA". From Rfam's summary of the family: Transfer RNA (tRNA) molecules are approximately 80 nucleotides in length. Their secondary structure includes four short double-helical elements and three loops (D, anti-codon, and T loops). The record is from RNAcentral. Lineage: Bacteria; Thermotogati; Deinococcota; Deinococci; Deinococcales; Deinococcaceae. RNAcentral also lists the same sequence under 3 other names.
GGGACAGUGGCGGAGCUGGCCGAACGCAAAUGUGCCCGUCAGGGCGUUUCCCUGCCGCCCCCUUGCCCAGAUUGGGCCGACAGGUCAGGGUUAUUUCCAUUCGUCGCAAGACUUCGCGGGUUCGAAUCCCGCCUGUCCCC